CCUACGGGUGGCAGCAGUGGGGGAUAUUGCACAAUGGGGGGAACCCUGAUGCAGCGACGCCGCGUGGGUGAAGAAGCGCCUCGGCGCGUAAAGCCCUGGCAUCAGGGAAGAAAAUGACGGUACCUGAAGCAGAAGCCCCGGCUAACUACGUGCCAGCAGCCGCGGGAAUACGUAGGGGGCUAGCGUAAUCCGGGUUUACUGGGUGUAAGGGGGGCGCAGACGGCGAUGCAAGCCAGGAGUGAAAGCGUGGGGCCCAACCCCGGGACGGCACUUGAAACUGCGAGGCUGGAGUGCAGGAGGGGGAGGCGGAAUUCCUGGUGUAGCGGUGAAAUGCGUAGAUAUCAGGAGGAACACCGGUGGCGAAGGCGGCUUGCUGGACUGCAACUGACGUUGAGGCCCGAAAGCGUGGGGAGCAAACAGGAUUAGAUACCCGAGUAGUC
RNAcentral lists this ribosomal RNA (440 nucleotides) under uncultured bacterium. RNAcentral describes it as "partial 16S ribosomal RNA". It matches the Rfam family "Bacterial small subunit ribosomal RNA", at positions 338 to 795 of the family's 1533-position model. The record is from RNAcentral.